AAAGAUUAAGCCAUGCAUGUCUAAGUAUAAGCAAUCUAUACCGUGAAACUGCGAAUGGCUCAUUAAAUCAGUUAUCGUUUAUUUGAUAGUACCUUACUACUUGGAUAACCGUGGUAAUUCUAGAGCUAAUACAUGCUAAAAACCUCGACUUCGGAAGGGGUGUACUUAUUAGAUAAAAAACCAAUGCCCUUCGGGGCUCCUUGGUGAUUCAUAAUAACUUAACGAAUCGCAUGGCCUUGUGCCGGCGAUGGUUCAUUCAAAUUUCUGCCCUAUCAACUUUCGAUGGUAUGGUCUUGGCUUACCAUGGUUU
This 310-nucleotide ribosomal RNA is filed under the name uncultured fungus. Its description in RNAcentral is "SSU rRNA". It matches the Rfam family "Eukaryotic small subunit ribosomal RNA", at positions 39 to 352 of the family's 1831-position model. Lineage: Eukaryota; Fungi. The record is from RNAcentral.